CACACCAAUGUAGCGGGGCUCAAGCACACCACCGAAGACGCGGCAGUAUUUUGUACUGGGUAGGAGAGCGUCCCAUGAGGGGCGAAGCGGCCGUGUGAACGCGCCGUGGACUUCAUGGGAGUGAGAAUGCAGACAUGAGUAGCGAGAGACGGGUGAAGAUCCCGUCCGCUGGAUGACCAAGGGUUCCAGGGCCACGUUCAUCGUCCCUGGGUGAGUCGGGUCCUAAGGCGAGGCCGACAGGCGUAGUCGAAUGGAUGAACGGGUCGAUAUUCCCGUACCGGCUUUCAGCCGCCAAAACCGAGGCUUGGAGUACUAACCUCCGGGUCCGGGCUUACUGCUCCUUCGGGGGCGGGAUGCCCUGGCCUGUUGGGACCGAUCCUUGUAGUAGGUCAGCGCAGGAGUGACGCAGAAGGGUAGCCGGCCGCGGAGGUGGUCUUCCGUGGUCAAGCACGCAGGGCGUGGGACAGGCAAAUCCGUCCCGCAUGGGUCCGAGGUGCGAUGAUGGGGGCCUUAUGGCCCGAUAUCCGGUGAUCCCGGCUGCCGAGAAAAGCUUCGGCGUCAGGCUCGAAGCCGCCCGUACCCCAAACCGACACUGGUGGUCAGGUAGAGAAUACCAAAGCGAUCGAGCGAAUCCUGGUCAAGGAACUCGGCAAAUCACUCCCGUUCCUUCGGUUUAAGGGAGACCCCCGAUGGUGAACACACUUGCUGUGGGAGCUUUUGGGGGUGGCACAGACCAGGGGGUAGCGACUGUUUACCAAAAACACAGGUGCAUGCGAAGGCGAAAGCCGCUGUAUAUGCACUGACGCCUGCCCGGUGCCGGAAGGUUAAGAGGAUCCGUCAGCCUUCGGGUGAAGCGGUGAAUUCAAGCCCCGGUAAACGGCGGUGGUAACUAUAACCAUCCUAAGGUAGCGAAAUUCCUUGUCGGGUAAGUUCCGACCUGCACGAAUGGCGUAACGACUUCCCCACUGUCUCGACCAGGAGCUCGGCGAAAUUGCAGUACGAGUAAAGAUGCUCGUUAAGCGCAGAAGGACGAAAAGACCCCGGGACCUUUACUAUACCUUGGUAUUGGCGUUAGGCGCGGAUUGUGUAGCAUAGGCGGGAGGCUUCGAAGCGUGGGCGCCAGCUCAUGUGGAGCCGCAAGGUGAAAUACCGCUCUGUUCUCGUUUGACGUCUAACCUCGACAAGUCAUCCUUGUCAGGGACAGUGCCUGGCGGGUAGUUCAACUGGGGCGGUUGCCUCCCAAAGAGUAACGGAGGCGCCCAAAGGUCCGCUCAGCCCGGUUGGCAAUCGGGUGGCGAGUGCAAGUGCACAAGCGGGCUUGACUGCGAGGACGACGGUCCGAGCAGGGACGAAAGUCGGGACUAGUGAUCCGGUGCCGGUGUACGGACGCGGCAUCGCUCAACGGAUAAAAGGUACCCCGGGGAUAACAGGCUGAUCAUUCCCAAGAGUCCAUAUCGACGGGAUGGUUUGGCACCUCGAUGUCGGCUCGUCGCAUCCUGGGGCUGGAGCAGGUCCCAAGGGUUCGGCUGUUCGCCGAUUAAAGCGGCACGCGAGCUGGGUUCAGAACGUCGUGAGACAGUUUGGUCUCUAUCCUCUGCGCUCGUUGGAAUGCUGAGGAGGCCUGCCCAUAGUACGAGAGGACCUGGGUGGACGAACCUCUGGUAUGCCGGUUGUCGCGCCAGCGGCACGGCCGGUUGGCUACGUUCGGGAGGGAUAACCGCUGAAAGCAUCUAAGCGGGAAGCCUGCUCCAAGAUUAGGAUUCCGUACGGUCUUGAACCGUUGUAGCCCGCAUGUUGAACACGUGUUUGAUAUUAUGCAACGCUUUCCAGUGUCUAUCCGUUAAGCGC
This 1848-nucleotide ribosomal RNA is filed under the name human gut metagenome. RNAcentral's name for it is "bacterial LSU rRNA". It matches the Rfam family "Bacterial large subunit ribosomal RNA", at positions 1163 to 2925 of the family's 2925-position model. The record is from RNAcentral.